CCCCACCCCCAUAAUCGAACACACACCGACAGAAGUCAUGAAGACUGCAGACUGUGAUGACUUGUGGAUUUAGCCUGACGUUGGCUGGUAAGAAAAUUAAGUAUUUUCAGUAAACGUUAUGUUUUCAUAUAGAUAUUGAUACUACUCUUCUUGUGUAUGGUCUUUUUCAAAUAUUAGCCACUGUAACACAGUUAGCUGAUUUUAUGCUGCAAUAUCUAGCUAGCCAUCUUAUUCUCCUCCUAAGUAGCUUACUUACUCAAUGAUGUCAUCUUGCUUCAUCUUAAAUUUGAUGGCAAGGACCAUAGCUAUGAUAAAUGUUUCAGAGAUGGUGUCUCAAUGAACUGUUUAUUAAGCUAAGUAUGCUAAGUUUGCUGUGUGAGUGUUGGUAUGAUAUCUCCUGUUAGUAAGACUAAAACUAGCAUUAUUUUUGUUAAACAGCAGAAAGAUGUAAGUGAACGGUUUAUGCUUGCUAAGCUGCCUUGCUCAUCAGCCAAUACAGGUUGUCUUGCAUGGAGACUGAAGACAGUCCAACUCAACACCUAAGAUGGCUUACAUGAGCUUCCAGGCCUCAUUUCCAGACUGAUAAGUAAUACUGUAAUGAAAAUGAGAGAGCAUACAUUGUUUCAUAUUGCUGUAUGUUUUACAAAGUGUUUUAAACGAUUAUGUGGUGCACAUGUU
Labrus mixtus (cuckoo wrasse) is the source of this 678-nucleotide long non-coding RNA. RefSeq lists it as uncharacterized. The record is from RefSeq and is a predicted model, not a curated record. The transcript has 2 exons. Lineage: Eukaryota; Metazoa; Chordata; Actinopteri; Labriformes; Labridae.